Molecule: ribosomal RNA, 487 nt
Filed under: uncultured bacterium
Lineage: Bacteria
Description: bacterial SSU rRNA
Rfam family: Bacterial small subunit ribosomal RNA
Source: RNAcentral
GACGAACGCUGGCGGCGUGGAUUAGGCAUGCAAGUCGAACGGUAGGAUACCUUCGGGUAUCUGAGAGUGGCGAACGGGUGAGUAACACGUAGGUGAUCUACCCUCAAGAUUGGGACAACCCAGGGAAACUUGGGCUAAUACCGGAUGAAAGCAGCAGUGAUGUUGUUUGAAAGGUGGCGUAAGCUGCCGUUUGGGGAUGAGCCUGCGCUCUAUUAGUUAGUUGGCGGGGUAAAGGCCCACCAAGGCGAUGAUAGAUAGGCGGCCUUAACGGGUGGUCGCCCACACUGGGAUUGAGAUACGGCCCAGACUCCUACGGGAGGCAGCAGUCGAGAAUAGUCUACAAUGGCCGAAAGGCUGAUAGUGCGACGCCGCGUGAACGAAGAAGCCCUUCGGGGUGUAAAGUUCUUUUAUAUGUGAGCAGUGCUUUCUAUGUGAACAGCAUGGGGAGAGAGAUAUUAGCAUAUGAAUAAGCAACGGCUAACUCCGU